RNAcentral lists this ribosomal RNA (626 nucleotides) under uncultured organism. RNAcentral's name for it is "SSU rRNA". It matches the Rfam family "Bacterial small subunit ribosomal RNA", at positions 28 to 623 of the family's 1533-position model. The record is from RNAcentral.
GACGAACGCUGGCGGCGUGCUUAACACAUGCAAGUCGAACGAAGAGCGACGGAAGCUUGCUUCUAUCAAUCUUAGUGGUGAACGGGUGAGUAACGCGUAAUCAACCUGCCCUUCAGAGGGGGACAACGGUUGGAAACGACUGCUAAUACCGCAUACGAUCUAAUCUCGGCAUCGAGGAUGGAUGAAAGGUGGCCUCUAUUUAUAAGCUAUCACUGAAGGAGGGGUUUGCGUCUGAUUAGCUAGUUGGAGGGGUAACGGCCCACCAAGGCGAUGAUCAGUAGCCGGUCUGAGAGGAUGAACGGCCACAUUGGGACUGAGACACGGCCCAGACUCCUACGGGAGGCAGCAGUGGGGAAUCUUCCGCAAUGGACGAAAGUCUGACGGAGCAACGCCGCGUGAGUGAUGACGGCCUUCGGGUUGUAAAGCUCUGUUAAUCGGGACGAAAGGCCUUCUUGCGGAUAGUUAGAAGGAUUGACGGUACCGGAAUAGAAAGCCACGGCUAACUACGUGCCAGCAGCCGCGGUAAUACGUAGGUGGCAAGCGUUGUCCGGAAUUAUUGGGCGUAAAGCGCGCGCAGGCGGAUUGGUCAGUCUGUCUUAAAAGUUCGGGGCUUAACCCCGUGAUGG